Amblyraja radiata (thorny skate) is the source of this 451-nucleotide long non-coding RNA. RefSeq lists it as uncharacterized. Lineage: Eukaryota; Metazoa; Chordata; Chondrichthyes; Rajiformes; Rajidae. The transcript is spliced from 5 exons. The record is from RefSeq and is a predicted model, not a curated record.
AUAUAGGUUAUCUGACAGAACAUUGGCGGCUUCUGGGGUGCAACCAACAGAUGCUAUUGGCAUCUUUGGAUGAGUUGGAAUGAUGGAAGUUAUCAGAAGCCGUUUGUGGCAUGUGAAUCUAAGCUACAUUGCGUGAAAGGAAUCCACAGAAACAACACGACAACAAAUGCACCUACAGUUAUAGUUGCAGUACAGAUUUUUAUUCAGCGGAGUCGAUUAAGAGACAUCUGAUCAUGGCUGCUUAUUACGCACAGAACACUCAGCGAUUUCCUAAAUGUACUCUAAUGCCGCGAUUGAAAUGUAAGGAUGAUCGCGAGAGCUGCCUGCCAUCUGGAAAUGCAUUAGUAUUUAAAUGAUAUUUUUAAUGUAAGUCGUUAGUUUAUAAAUCUGUAUUUAGAUAGUUGUUUCUGUUCAACAUCACUAAAGUAAAUGUAAUACAGUUUAGUUUUUU